UCCGCUCUAAUCCCCCAAAUCCUCAAAUUCCUCUUUUCUAGUGUUAGGGUUUCCUCCAACCUUUACACGCACAAGCUUACCCACCGAUAAAUUCAAUCUCUUUGUAUUCAAUUGAUAAAUAUGGCGUCUUCAACAGCUCAAAUUCACGCUGUUGGAGCCACAUAUUUUACAACUUCCUCUUCUUCCAGUAGAAAACCCUCAAAGACAGUGUUUUUAGGUCAAAACAUAAACAACAGAACCCUAGCGUUCGGAUUGAAGCAGAAGAAGAGCAGCUUCAGCCGGAGGAAUGGCGGUGGUCACGCGCCACUGCGUGUGGUGGCGGAGAAGGUGGUGGGAAUUGACUUGGGGACCACCAAUUCCGCCGUGGCUGCUAUGGAAGGAGGGAAGCCCACCAUAGUGACCAACGCUGAAGGGCAGAGGACAACACCUUCAGUGGUGGCUUAUACUA
Molecule: long non-coding RNA, 448 nt
Filed under: Nicotiana tabacum (common tobacco)
Lineage: Eukaryota; Viridiplantae; Streptophyta; Magnoliopsida; Solanales; Solanaceae
Description: long non-coding RNA (NTAB_LNC008337)
Source: RNAcentral